GUGAAUCAUCAAAUUUUUGAACGCAAAUUGCACUGUCUGGUAUUCCGGACAGUAUGCCUGUUUGAGGGUCAGUUAAAUAUAAAUCGGGGUUGUUGAUGCUUUUCGUGGUGACGCGUCGGAAUGGGGUUUGCUUACUGUUGGUUAAGUGACUUAGAAUUGUGCAUGAUUGUCGGAGGUAUGUAAUUUUCUUUCGUAAGUUUUAGAUAUCGAAUAGUUU
Molecule: unclassified non-coding RNA, 217 nt
Filed under: Glomeromycetes sp.
Lineage: Eukaryota; Fungi; Glomeromycota; Glomeromycetes
Description: partial contains 5.8S ribosomal RNA and internal transcribed spacer 2
Rfam family: 5.8S ribosomal RNA (bases 1-71)
Source: RNAcentral